UACGAAGGGGGCUAGCGUUGUUCGGAAUCACUGGGCGUAAAGCGCGCGUAGGCGGCUUUCCAAGUCAGGGGUGAAAUCCCGGGGCUUAACCCCGGAACUGCCUUUGAAACUGGGAGGCUGGAGACUCGGAGAGGAUAGUGGAAUUCCAAGUGUAGAGGUGAAAUUCGUAGAUACUUGGAGGAACACCGAUGGCGAAGGCAGCUAUCUGGACGAGCACUGACGCUGAGGCGCGAAAGCGUGGGGAUCAAACAGG
This 253-nucleotide ribosomal RNA is filed under the name uncultured bacterium. Its description in RNAcentral is "partial 16S ribosomal RNA". It matches the Rfam family "Bacterial small subunit ribosomal RNA", at positions 524 to 776 of the family's 1533-position model. The record is from RNAcentral.